GAGAAAUUGUCUUCAUCUGGGGCCCCAUCAUGGGCUUCUCUGAAGAAAAAAUGCCACGACCUACGGAUCUUUCAGUGUCUUACGUUAUUGUCUCUCUUAGUAGGGAGAGACCAUGAUGGGGGAUAAGCAGGUUGUUCAAUAGAACAGAAUUACCUGGUCGUCACUAUGAAGCAGAUGCCCCGGAGCUUGCUGCAGGCUUCUGUUGACUCGUCUCCUGGCCUGCAGCCGUCCCUGCCUGAGCCUGCCUCCCUGGACUGACCCCUGAAGAAGCUGGGUCUUUUGGGGAAGAGCCAAUAGCAAAACCAGUUCAAUGCUCAUGAUGGAUACUAUUGAAACUCUGAACUUGGGGGACCUUCAUAGCUCCAUCGUCUUAAUGCCGGUCAGCUGGCACAUGGCUUUUGCCCUUUGCUCUUCAUCUUAUGGCCUUGAGGAUAAAACUUUAUGUGCUGUAGAUGGCGAAGCAAGAAGAGUGGACGAGCCUGGUUCCUUGAGCAGCAGCGCCAGCCCCAGCCUCUCUAUCCACGGACUGCUUCUUAAGAAAACCAGCCAGCUGCAGACAAAGGAUCAGAUGGAGGUAUACGAGGAAACCAUCAAUAUCUGUUCCAGAGUUCUGAGGAAACACACCAAAUCAAAGCAAUUUGGAGAUUUCUAUUUGUCAAAUGAUCAUUUUCCAGGAGGAGGCCAGCAGAAGCAGGAUCUGGGUCUCCCUUGGGAAAUCCGG
This 721-nucleotide long non-coding RNA is filed under the name Equus caballus (horse). RNAcentral's name for it is "lncRNA (ENSECAG00000034018.3)". The record is from RNAcentral. Lineage: Eukaryota; Metazoa; Chordata; Mammalia; Perissodactyla; Equidae.